UUUGUAGUUUUUUUUUUAUUUAUUUUUUUUAACAUUCGUACUUAAUUUUUUUUCCUUGUUGUACGUACAUUUUCAUAGUUAUUUGAAAUUAAAUUGUUUUUGUUAUCAAUUAAUGUGUAAACAUGAAAAUUCUGUAAGGAAUGAAACGAGAACAUGUGUACAAAGUAGAUUUGUAUUAAUGAAUUUGUAGGGUUACAAUCUCUGUUUACAAUUUUACUCUGAUUCAGUCUUCAAAUUUGAUGUAGAUGGUUGAUUGUUGAUCCAAGGGUCGCGAUGACUUGAUCUCGGAUGAACGGUUAAACGAUUGCUUUAAAUUUUGAGCUUGAAACAAUGUGUGGAUGGUCUUCACCUCAGGUUUAGGGAUGUGGCAAAGGUAGAUUUGAUGUAGGAAUUUGUUGAUUCAAGAGUCAUGGCGACUUGAUCUUGAAUCGAACGUCGUUACACGUUUUGAGCUUGCAACUUGAAGGCAUCGAUACAAGUGCUUGUUGAUUCUUCAAGGGAGUGCUUCAGCUUCGGUCAAAUGAAAGCUUUAGCUUUGGUUAUGCAUUCUUCGAAGAGAGCUUUGGCAGCGUAUUAGUCUUCAAAUAUUUGGCAGAGGUUCUCCUUUUGUGAGAAUUUUAGCCUUGAAUGUAGAAAUUGUCAACCCUUUGUUUGUCCUGGGACCUCAUAUUUAUAAACUUCCAAUGCCAUGCCUUUGGGUGGAUUUGGCUUUAAUUUGUGUCUUGAUUCGUCCAUGGGAGAAUUUAGGCAUGUUUUGUGUCUUGUUUUCAAUCACUUUCCCUUGCUUGGCCGAAUUAUAGGGCUUUCUUGCCUAUUUUGUGAGCAAUCUUCAAUUCUUGCUUGUUUUUGUGAAGAUGCUUUAGCUUUCUUUCCGGUUUAGGGAGCAAUUUGGGCCCUUUGCUGACUUUAGGAGAUUUCUUCCCCUUUGCCGCAUUUUAGAAAUGUUUUUGGGCUUCCUUUGCUUGAUUUGUGCCACAUGUCAUUGAUGACUUGUCCAUUUGUGAUGAGUCAUAUGCCACGUGGAGCCUUGUGAUGUAUCAUUUGCAUGCAACGAAAUUUACAUGUCUACAAAUACCCCCACUUCAUGGCGUGUUGUAGGCAUGUGCUUAUCACAUGUAGGAAACUUGUUUUGAAGUCUUGCAACAAUCUGCAUAUAAAAAUGCAAACACAAAAAAUAAAAAAAUAAAAAAAAUAAAAAAACCUAACUCUUUCCGAACGAAACAAAUUUGUCGAGCCAAAUACGUUUUUAUUGCCUCUAAUUUUUCCCUAUGAAAUAUUCGUCAAACAAUGAAUUUAAAGAAAAAAAAAGAUACAAUACAUGCUCAACCAAUGUAUUUACCAUUCAAAGUGUUUAGAUAUUUGUAAAAAUUCAAAAUUAAAACAAUAUUUGGGGGUCAAUCCCUAAACCAUUUAGGAUUUAAGGUUUAAUCUAAUUAUGAUAAUUUAAAAAGCUACAAUAAAUACAAUAUUAAAGA
RNAcentral lists this long non-coding RNA (1475 nucleotides) under Malus domestica (apple). RNAcentral's name for it is "long non-coding RNA (MDOM_LNC015973)". Lineage: Eukaryota; Viridiplantae; Streptophyta; Magnoliopsida; Rosales; Rosaceae. The record is from RNAcentral.